CAAUUGGUCCUAUAAAUGAAGGCUUCCCCAUUACCAAACCCUUCAUCGUUUAGAAUUUCAGAUCCGAUAGAAACCAGAGGCAAACCCAAAUUCUUUGAAGCUCUUCUAAGUUCUCUCUUACCUCACUUCCAAGAUGCAGAUCUUCGUGAAAACCCUCACAGGCAAGACCAUCACCCUCGAGGUUGAAAGCUCUGACACCAUUGACAAUGUCAAAGCCAAGAUUCAGGACAAGGAAGGCAUUCCCCCAGACCAGCAGAGGCUGAUCUUUGCUGGCAAGCAGCUUGAGGAUGGCCGCACCCUCGCCGAUUACAACAUCCAGAAGGAGUCCACCCUCCACUUGGUGCUUCGUCUCCGUGGUGGUAUGCAAAUCUUUGUCAAGACCCUUACCGGGAAGACAAUAACCUUGGAAGUUGAAAGCUCGGAUACUAUUGACAAUGUCAAGGCAAAGAUCCAGGACAAGGAGGGAAUUCCCCCAGACCAGCAGAGGCUCAUCUUUGCUGGAAAGCAGCUUGAGGAUGGCCGCACCCUGGCGGAUUACAACAUCCAGAAGGAGUCCACCCUCCACUUGGUGCUUCGUCUCCGUGGUGGUAUGCAAAUCUUUGUCAAGACCCUUACCGGGAAGACAAUAACCUUGGAAGUUGAAAGCUCGGAUACUAUUGACAAUGUCAAGGCAAAGAUCCAGGACAAGGAGGGAAUUCCCCCAGACCAGCAGAGGCUCAUCUUUGCUGGAAAGCAGCUUGAGGAUGGCCGCACCCUGGCGGAUUACAACAUCCAGAAGGAGUCCACCCUCCACUUGGUGCUUCGUCUCCGUGGUGGUAUGCAAAUCUUUGUCAAGACCCUUACCGGGAAGACAAUAACCUUGGAAGUUGAAAGCUCGGAUACUAUUGACAAUGUCAAGGCAAAGAUCCAGGACAAGGAGGGAAUUCCCCCAGACCAGCAGAGGCUCAUCUUUGCUGGAAAGCAGCUUGAGGAUGGCCGCACCCUGGCCGACUACAACAUCCAGAAGGAGUCCACCCUCCACUUGGUGCUUCGUCUCCGUGGUGGUAUGCAAAUCUUUGUUAAGACCCUUACUGGGAAGACAAUCACCUUGGAAGUUGAAAGCUCGGAUACCAUUGACAAUGUCAAGGCAAAGAUCCAGGACAAGGAGGGCAUUCCCCCAGACCAGCAGAGGCUCAUCUUCGCUGGUAAGCAGCUUGAGGAUGGACGCACCCUUGCUGACUAUAACAUCCAAAAAGAAUCGACUCUGCAUUUGGUGCUCCGGCUGCGUGGUGGUAUGCAGAUAUUUGUGAAAACUCUGACCGGGAAAACCAUUACUCUGGAAGUGGAAAGCUCUGAUACUAUUGAUAAUGUUAAGGCCAAAAUCCAGGACAAGGAGGGUAUUCCCCCAGACCAGCAGAGGUUGAUCUUUGCAGGCAAGCAGCUCGAGGAUGGAAGGACCCUUGCUGACUACAACAUUCAAAAGGAGUCCACUCUGCACUUGGUGCUUCGACUGCGUGGUGGGAUGCAGAUCUUUGUGAAGACUCUGACUGGCAAGACCAUAACGUUGGAGGUGGAGAGUUCGGAUACAAUUGAUAAUGUGAAGGCCAAGAUUCAGGACAAGGAGGGCAUUCCUCCAGACCAGCAGAGGCUCAUCUUUGCCGGUAAGCAGCUCGAGGAUGGGAGGACUCUUGCAGAUUACAACAUUCAGAAGGAGUCUACCCUUCACCUUGUCCUUCGUCUCCGAGGUGGUUUCUGAAUUCUGAAUGAUCCUUGUGGUUCCAUCCUUUUCUGAUCAGUGAACAGUGGCUUUGUUAAGUAUUUUUAUUUUUGAAUUUUCGUACUUGGCUGAUGGAUGAUGGGUCACACUAAGACUAUCUCGUUAAUAAAUAAACAUGCUUUGUAUGUAUCUGCUCAGUUUCUUUUUAGCAUUUGAAAUUUCUGUUAUACAUGCAUCUAUAUUGCUCUAUAAUAUUGUUUUUGGAACUUUGGAUGGUCGGAUUGGAGAUGUGGUCUGGUUAAAAUCAAAGCAGAGGAUUCGAAUCUGUGGUUGAAAUCUAGUCUGAGGAUUCGAAUCCGUGGUUGAAAUCUA
Prunus dulcis (almond) is the source of this 2068-nucleotide RNA transcript. It is a transcript of the gene named polyubiquitin-like, with no coding region annotated. The record is from RefSeq and is a predicted model, not a curated record. The transcript is spliced from 2 exons. Lineage: Eukaryota; Viridiplantae; Streptophyta; Magnoliopsida; Rosales; Rosaceae.